UCCGGUUUGACACCGGCAGUCCCGCUAGAGUCCUCGCCAUGACGCGUUAGCAACUAGCGGCAGGGGUUUCGCUCGUUAAGGGACUUAACCCGACACUUCACAGCACGAGCUGACGACAGCCAUGCAGCACCUGUGCACGUUCCACCCUUGCGGGCGUGGCUCCCCUUUCAGGGAGUUAAUCCGUGCAUGUCAAGCCCAGGAUAAGGUUCUUCGCGUUGCUUCGAAUUAAGCCACAUGCUCCACCGCUUGUGUGAGCCCCCGUCAAUUCCUUUGAGUUUUAGCCUUGCGACCGUACUCCCCAGGCGGCACACUUAUCGUUUUUACUUCGACACCGGGGGCGUCAGAGCCUCCAGUAUCUAGUGUGCAUCGUUUACGGCGUGGACUAC
Molecule: unclassified non-coding RNA, 386 nt
Filed under: uncultured Phycisphaeraceae bacterium
Lineage: Bacteria; Pseudomonadati; Planctomycetota; Phycisphaerae; Phycisphaerales; Phycisphaeraceae
Description: contains 16S-23S intergenic spacer region
Source: RNAcentral